CCUGGUGUCGCCAUGCUCCCCAGCAGAAGGAGGCAGCCCUGGUUCAGCUAAAAGCUGUUUCACAAGACCUAUUGCUGCUCAUCAGAUUCCCCACUGAGUAAAAGAAGCAUCUGCAAAUCUAAUUUGAAAGAUUGGUUUGAAGUGAAGCUUUGGCAAACUUCCCAGAGCCCUUUGGUUUUCUGGGUCCCUGACUCUGCAUUUGUCUCCUGGGGUCAUCUCAGUGGUGUGUGCACUGCCAGCAAACCCAAGUCGUUCCUCAAACAACCAGAAAACAACUAAACAAACUUGGCAAGAUUCGUUUGGGGGAGUUAAAGAAGACAUGAAUGGGGUGCAAAGAGAGAUGAGCCAGGCCAAGGCCCAGAGGCAGAGGCCACGUUGGAUGCUGCAUCUGAGGACCACAUGCCGGAUCAUGGUCAGGAAUCAUGGGAGCGGGCUGAGAGACAUGGUAACAACUGAGUUCAGGUAAGUGACUCAGAACUGAGCAUGGGGUCAUAUGAAAGUCAAAAGCUUGGUGUUUUGGAUAGUGGUCAUGUGUGCAAGUCCUGGAGGGCAUUAAAAGGGUCUCUUAGUACUUUGUUCCUUUGACUUCCCUCAGCAACAGCCUAGGAGUUGCCAUAGUUUAGCUCAGCCUAGUAGGUUCUCCCCAGUGAAAACUGUCUAUGUCUUUUUUUACUGCUUCUCUCCUAAGCCAAUGCUCUUCUCACACAUGUUUCUUUCAUUGUUAGGACCAAGUCAAGAAUGUGUAGAACCUACCAGUUCCUACUUUCCUUGAGCUCCUAACGAUAGAGGUACAUCUGAACCAUCUGGGAAAGCGCCAUCAGGUCAACCUCUAGACCCUCACAAACACUGUGCUAACAGAGCUGGGCAGGUGUUCUCACUGACUGCAUCCACACCAUUACAUUCUCCUUGAUUUCCUGCCACAUUUGUGGGCAGGUGUAGGGAGGGAGAUUUUAUUAGGAACCUGCAAACCUACUUUAUUGGAGGUGUCAGUAUGGUAUGUCUUAUGCUCAAAUCUUUAACAUGUUAAAACAGAACAAAAUAACCUUUGGACUGGGCCUACAGCAGCCUUAUGCCCCCAAAGAACUGUGCAAAGAUAACAAGAAAACAGCUAUUUUGACUACUGGACUAAUGACCACUAGACUGAAAAAGCCAAUUAUUGACAAUUAGCUUUUACCAUGUUUUGCUAUCUACAACUAUAGAAAUGCCUUCUCUCUAUUGAUGAAAUUGUGCCCCUUCCCUUUCUCAUAAACACCUCUCGCCUUUUUCUCCUCCUGUCUUGGAACAGUAUUACAGUAUUUGGGCUUCCACAUGAAUGAGUGUGUCAGGAAUAGCUAGCUAUUCCUUCUUAUCUCACAUAAAUGUGUGUUGCUUCUCAUUUUGAAAGGCCUUUUCUUUUUCAGGUUAGCAUAGAACGGUGAGCCCAAAACAUGUUGGCACUUGUAUCAAAGACCACACAGGGUACUCAUAAGUUGCUGAUUAAUUGUAACAGCAAGUUUUUCUGUCACUUCUUCGCUAAGAAGGGGUGAGCACACGCCCAUCCCUUCUUAGCUGUCAUAUCUGCCAGGCAACCAGGCUCUCAUUGGUUAAAUCUUCCCUCUGCUCUGAUGUUCUGACUAGGGCUUUGCUCUUAGCAUCUGCUUCUGUUCCUGAACCAACACCCCUUCCCGGGAGCCAUUUCAUGCCCCUGGGCUCUGCCACACCCCUCAGCACUGACCUGUGGUUCCCGUGACCCAGCUCUGAACACCAGUCUCCUUGUCAGGUGCCCACUGAGGUCUAGCACCUACCCAGCCUCCCUGGUUUAGACCCUUUCCUGGAAUCUGAUCAACUCUUCCUCCCUUCUAAUCAUUCUCUGCUCUGAAGCAUGACAAAGCAGCAGCCUAGAUAAUGUAAAAUAUAUAAGCAGAUUUUGAACUGAAAGUUUAAAACCCACUUCACGUUCUAAAAUACAAAGUUUUGAUUCUUGUCUCCUCCAUGGUGACUUCUGGGAUGUACGGUUGAGAGAAAGAGGGCAUAGAUCCAAUGUCCACAGUGAACAAGCAUUCCUCCUGGGAAGACAAUGUAUUCCAUGCCAGCCUGUCUCCGGGCAAAAGACAUAAUGUCAUUCUUCCAACAAUGUGCACGCUAAAGUGCAAACUAAGGGCUCAUACCUUCUGUCCCUCUCCAAGGCAGAGUUUGGACAUACUGGGGACAGGCUAGAAGGUAUCUACUCUCCUAUAACUGCUCAAUCAUGUGGCAAUCACGGGUUUCCCUGAGCAUCAUAAAAGGUAAGAGGGAACUUGAAUGUAGCCCUGUUCCUUCAUCUAGGCAACCGUGGAGGUGGACCUGGACCACGUGCUGGGUCCCCUGAGUGGGAGAGAUGCAGCUGUGAGCAAGACAUUCCAGGGAAAUAAAGGCAAUAAACAGGCACCUGAUGAAUACAUAAUAUGAUUCCAGGUAGACGAAGAGGGAGAAACAGAACAAUCCCUGGUAAAUGGAUAAGAUGCAAUGAUCUGUUCUGAGAAAGGCAGUUUUGAUCAGACCUUCCCACAUGAAAGGAGAGAAAGAAUAAGGAUGACACCGUCUAGGUCUGUCCGAUCAACGGCGCUAUUUUCUAGAAAAAGACUUUUCAAUAUCUAAGUUAGUCCUUCACAAUCAGUGUCCAUCCUUGCUAAGAGGGGCCUACUCAAUGUUUGAGGCAGAUAGAGUAUGAGGAAGCAUAAUCUACAUUGCAUUAAUUUAAUUUUUGUUAGUUAUUAUUUAUUUAGUUUAUUUUCAAAUUCCAAAUGGUGUCAAAGCAUGCUAUCACACUUAUCAAACUGAAUUUCGGUUAAAGACCAGCCAAAUUCAUCAUUUCUUUUGAGGUAGAGAAAACUAGAAAGCAAGGAGCUUUUAUUUGAAUCAUAAAUAAGUAAAAAAUGAGAGUUCAAAUUUCCCCAAAGAAAUAAUUGCUCAGUUUUCAGGAAUCAAUGGAGACUUUUGUAUCUUAGUGAUUUUGCAUACCACAGUCACUUUCUGCAUAAAAGAAACAUUCAUAAUAUGAUGAUAAAUACACUGGUCUUAAUC
Molecule: long non-coding RNA, 3042 nt
Organism: Artibeus jamaicensis (Jamaican fruit-eating bat)
Lineage: Eukaryota; Metazoa; Chordata; Mammalia; Chiroptera; Phyllostomidae
Exons: 3
Source: RefSeq, a predicted model, not a curated record